Molecule: long non-coding RNA, 1113 nt
Filed under: Bos indicus x Bos taurus (hybrid cattle)
Lineage: Eukaryota; Metazoa; Chordata; Mammalia; Artiodactyla; Bovidae
Description: lncRNA (ENSBIXG00000023842.1)
Source: RNAcentral
CAAUACUUCCAUUUUUAAACCUGUUCUGUGUUUGUGUAUAUAUUCAAUAAAAUAUAAUUUUCAUUUAAAGUUGUUUAGCUUUUAGGAACCUUGGAGGAAAAAAGUGUCAGACAUAUCCGAUUUAAUAAAGGGGUAUAUUUUAAAUUGAAAUAAAAACUAGAAAUAAAGAUUUAAUCUUGUUCCACUGGGAAAAUCAUCUUAAGUUACCUAAUGUUGUCCAAAAUUCAGAAACAUAAUUCAUGUGUGUUUGUGUGUGUGUGAGUGUGUACACAAGUAUGAGUGUGUUAACUUUGCUUGGGUUCAUGGUCUAAACUCAGUAAACUGCACAAAAUAAGCAAAAAAGCAUAAAAGAUGAAGAUCCCAUGAUUCAGGGCCCAUUUACUUGAUGAAUUUUUGAUAUGUUAGGUAAUCUUUUCAGCAUAUGUGAUCUAUGAAGAGAUUUUCCAUAAAGGCAUUUGGUAAAUGAGUUUCUGAUGAAAUAUACUUCCAGACUUCAGUAUCUUCAGAAAUAAUUCCAUGCUUUCAUAUUUUUGAAUUUAGAGAAUGAUUUAUGUUCCUUCCAGGUAUCCAUGAGGAGAGCUGUCAACAUUCCAUCCUGGAAAACCUUUACUAAGAUCGAUGUUUCCACAAACAUCGAUUUGACCCUCCCAUUCCUCAUUCCAAAACAAUGGACUCACAUCACCCAGAAUUCCACUUUGCUAUGAUUAAAUACACAUAAAGAACUCUUCUUUCCUAUAGCUAUCCACAGGAAGAAAAAUUUCAAGAACUACUGUGUUUUCUGCAUAUGUAUCAAGAAGAAUGCUUUCAUAUCACAUCCAUUAUUGAAAGAUUCAUUCAUCACUGUGCUGAGAGGAUUACAGAUACCUCCUGAAAAUCACAAACUCAUUGAGUUUGCCACUAGGUAAAGUGUUGCAAUAACAAGCCUUAUUUUGCUGUGGAUUCAAGUAACAAAUGUUACCUGAUUCUCAGUAGAGAUACAGUGAAGGAGCAACGUCUCUUUGGACCAGGACAAACAGUGACAAUCAAAAGUACAGAAUGUCAGGACAUCAGGAUUCCUUAGAGCCUGACCCCCCAAAGAGGGUAGGAUACUGAAAGACAGGCUGUUUGUUUUCC